RNAcentral lists this transfer RNA (71 nucleotides) under Fukomys damarensis (Damara mole-rat). It matches the Rfam family "tRNA". Rfam says of the family: Transfer RNA (tRNA) molecules are approximately 80 nucleotides in length. Their secondary structure includes four short double-helical elements and three loops (D, anti-codon, and T loops). Lineage: Eukaryota; Metazoa; Chordata; Mammalia; Rodentia; Bathyergidae. The record is from Rfam by way of RNAcentral.
GGGUUUGUAGCUCAGUGGCAGAGCACUAGUCUAGCAUAUGAAAAGCCCUUGGUUCCAUUCCAAGCAUCUCA